This 70-nucleotide transfer RNA is filed under the name Dipodomys ordii (Ord's kangaroo rat). It matches the Rfam family "tRNA". Rfam says of the family: Transfer RNA (tRNA) molecules are approximately 80 nucleotides in length. Their secondary structure includes four short double-helical elements and three loops (D, anti-codon, and T loops). The record is from Rfam by way of RNAcentral. Lineage: Eukaryota; Metazoa; Chordata; Mammalia; Rodentia; Heteromyidae.
GGGAAUGUGGCUUAGUGGUAGAGUGCUUGCCUAGGAUACAUGAAGCUCUGGGUUCAAUUCCUCAGUUCCA